Molecule: ribosomal RNA, 289 nt
Filed under: Escherichia coli
Lineage: Bacteria; Pseudomonadati; Pseudomonadota; Gammaproteobacteria; Enterobacterales; Enterobacteriaceae
Also listed under: 1 other name
Description: partial 23S ribosomal RNA
Rfam family: Bacterial large subunit ribosomal RNA
Source: RNAcentral
GGCGGUGUUUGGCACCUCGAUGUCGGCUCAUCACAUCCUGGGGCUGAAGUAGGUCCCAAGGGUAUGGCUGUUCGCCAUUUAAAGUGGUACGCGAGCUGGGUUUAGAACGUCGUGAGACAGUUCGGUCCCUAUCUGCCGUGGGCGCUGGAGAACUGAGGGGGGCUGCUCCUAGUACGAGAGGACCGGAGUGGACGCAUCACUGGUGUUCGGGUUGUCAUGCCAAUGGCACUGCCCGGUAGCUAAAUGCGGAAGAGAUAAGUGCUGAAAGCAUCUAAGCACGAAACUUGCC